This 482-nucleotide ribosomal RNA is filed under the name uncultured bacterium. Its description in RNAcentral is "bacterial SSU rRNA". It matches the Rfam family "Bacterial small subunit ribosomal RNA", at positions 29 to 506 of the family's 1533-position model. The record is from RNAcentral.
GUGAACGCUGGCGGCAGGCCUAACACAUGCAAGUCGAGCGGCAGCGCGGGGGCAACCCUGGCGGCGAGCGGCGGACGGGUGAGGAAUACAUCGGAAUCUACCCAGUCGUGGGGGAUAACGUAGGGAAACUUACGCUAAUACCGCAUACGACCUGAGGGUGAAAGCAGGGGACCGCAAGGCCUUGCGCGAUUGGAUGAGCCGAUGUCCGAUUAGCUAGUUGGUGAGGUAAAGGCUCACCAAGGCGACGAUCGGUAGCUGGUCUGAGAGGAUGAUCAGCCACACUGGAACUGAGACACGGUCCAGACUCCUACGGGAGGCAGCAGUGGGGAAUAUUGGACAAUGGGCGCAAGCCUGAUCCAGCCAUGCCGCGUGUGUGAAGAAGGCCUUCGGGUUGUAAAGCACUUUUGUCCGGGAAGAAAAGCCAGGGAUUAAUACCCCCGGGUUCUGACGGUACCGGAAGAAUAAGCACCGGCUAACUUCGU